RNAcentral lists this long non-coding RNA (1160 nucleotides) under Macaca fascicularis (crab-eating macaque). RNAcentral's name for it is "lncRNA (ENSMFAG00000057535.1)". Lineage: Eukaryota; Metazoa; Chordata; Mammalia; Primates; Cercopithecidae. The record is from RNAcentral.
AUGACCGGGAACUUCUCCGCCAGGCGAGCGUACAGCCAGUCGAAGUGCUUGUAGCGCCGAUGCACCGGCACCUGCGUGUGCGUGGGCACCAGCUUGUAGGAGAUGUAGCUCUUCAUGCCCUUGAACUUGGUCUGCUUGGUGGGGUCGUCGAUGGUGCACUGGAACGGGUAGGGGUUCUCCUGCCACUCGGGGCCGUAGGGCCCCAGCACCACGCACAGCUUGUCCCCGUCCUUCACGAAGCCUGACGCCUCCCCCAGCACGAAGGCCUCCCCGCCGGACUUGACGAAGGUGGAGAAGCGGUUGAGGUUGCGGCUCACUGUGGCCGAGCUCUUGGCCCCCGACGGGUGGUGCUGCGGAGGCGCCGAGCCGCUGCGGGAGCCCAGGGACAGGUCGGAGCGCGUGGACAGGCGGUAGCGGCCGGCUGCGCCCACACCCGCCGAGGACGAGCCGUCGAGGUCCGGGUAUGCUCCGCUGCCCAGAGCGCCCGGCUCGUCAGCCACCGUGGAGCUGUCGUCCCACUCGUCGUCCCAGUCAUCAUCGCUGCCCUGGCUGGCCUGGUAGCCGCCGUAGAGCUGCUGAGGCGACGGCUGCAGGGCGCCCCACCGUACGGGAAGCCCGCGCCUGGCGGCUGGAAGGUGCUCGGAGGCGGCGCCUGCUGUGGCUGCAGCAGCGGCUGGAAGGUGUCUGGCGGCGGCUUGAAGGAGGCGGGCGGCGCGGCGGGCAGGGCUCGAAGCCCCGGGGGCACAUUGGCGUAGCGUGCCGGGGCGCUCGGGCCGCCGUCUCCCGCCAGGCUGGGCUCUGGGGCGCGGAUCACCUGCACGUAGGAGGCUGGGAAGAGGCCGCGGUCGCCGCGGCUGUUGACCCCUUCGAGCCAGCCCUCGAUGUCCUGCUCGCUGCACAGGCUCAGCACCUCGUGCUCCCGCAGCGAGAUCUCGCCCGGGUUCUCAGACCUGAAGUCGUACAGCGCCCGGGCGCGCAACGCCAUGGUCCCGGCGCCCUGACUAGCGGUCCCGACUCCCGGCGUCCCGAGCCGAGGCCCACCUAAGGAGCCCGCGGUGCAGCUCGACCCUGGCGCGCGGACUGGAGCCCCAAAGCGGCGAACCCACGCUGCCCGGACCCGCCGGUCGCGCCCUCCGCUCGCGGUGCCUCCACUUCGCAGU